AUGAGCCAUCCCAACAAAAGACAGAGCACAUGUUCUCAACACUCUUAUGAGAAUUCCAUGUCAGAACAAGUCCUGAAGAACAGAGAAAAACAUUGGGAAGUCUCAACAGAGCAAAUUCCCCACUUCUCUGGGAUGAGAUUAACGGGCUAUGAAACAUCUCCUACAUCUAAGCUCUUGGGAUCCUUACAACUUGCAUCAAAUACACAAGACCUUGCACCACCCCCGAAACCAGGGAGAACAGUGCAGCACACUUCAGGGAAGCAAAAUUAUUUUUCAGGGUGAUUGCUGAGGACUCUUUAAGAGGCUUGUCUGGUUCCUGUGCUCCAGUCUUGUCACUUCCCAGCCUGCCAUGUCAAGUCCCAGCACACAAAAAGGAUCAAGAUAACCUUAACCGCAUUUAAACAGAAAGCCCUGACCUCUUUCACAUGACUGUACAAGGAAGGGAACCACACACUGGCAUGGAUUUAACUGAUGGACAGGAGCCACACAACAUCACACAAACAUGCGCACCUGUGCGCAGCCACACACGCUUGAGUUCUUGCAGUUUCAGUAAAAAGGGCACUUUCCCAUGUUAGUCCAAGGAGCCAGCACCCCUGGUGGGGAGACGGGAAGCUCUGUACCUAUCUGACACUGCAUUUUGACAGUCUGGCUCAGCACCCCUGGGGAAUUUUAUUUAAAAAUGGGGCUUAAUUGUUCAAGACUCAGAGAAUGCCCUGGCAUUUAUGCACCUCCCUUCAUAAUGCUACAUCCCCUUUUAACCAUACUGCAGCUUCAGAAGAGCAGGAGAGCAGCCUUCACUUCCCAGAGAAAGCUGUCAGAAAAGAGGUUUAUCUAGACUCCUACAACACAUUAUUUGGAGAGGAUAGGAUUUGGCGCUCACACACUAGAUGAAAUCACUGUGAUCUCUACCCUGUGCUAAGUCCAAAGCAUAGAUGUCUUAAGCUGAAGAAACAGAAUCAUUUAUCCUGUUGCUCAUCACACACAGGCCAUCUCACAUGUUCCAUUAUACAAAAAGGUGCCACAGUUGAGCAUGGACAGGUCCUCUAACAACAGAGGACUGUGAAACCUAUCACUUUCCACCUUAUAUCCACUGCAGGCACCAAAACAUAAACCCAGCCAGGAAGUCCAAACCCCAUGAGGCUGAGGAAACAAGAUCACUCCUGGUUCUCCUCCAAGCUUUUCUUCAAAUGCCUGAAAUUCUUGAAGCAACACAUCCAGUGCCAGAAGCCAUGCUCCUUGUUGUGGCAAACAGGGUAGAGGGAGAAAAAAAACAAGUUAGUGAGCAUGAAUCCAGCUUCCAAUAAGUGCAGACUCUUUCUUGGGAGGUUCGGUUAGAUGAGAGUGG
Molecule: long non-coding RNA, 1345 nt
Filed under: Falco tinnunculus (common kestrel)
Lineage: Eukaryota; Metazoa; Chordata; Aves; Falconiformes; Falconidae
Description: lncRNA (ENSFTIG00000007844.1)
Source: RNAcentral